UACGUAGGGCGCAAGCGUUGUCCGGAAUUAUUGGGCGUAAAGAGCUCGUAGGCGGUUUGUCGCGUCGGCUGUGAAAACCUAGGGCUCAACCCUGGGCUUGCAGCCGAUACGGGCAAACUAGAAUUCGGUAGGGGAGACUGGAAUUCCUGGUGUAGCGGUGAAAUGCGCAGAUAUCAGGAGGAACACCGGUGGCGAAGGCGGGUCUCUGGGCCGAUAUUGACGCUGAGGAGCGAAAGCGUGGGGAGCGAACAGG
This 253-nucleotide ribosomal RNA is filed under the name uncultured bacterium. RNAcentral describes it as "partial 16S ribosomal RNA". It matches the Rfam family "Bacterial small subunit ribosomal RNA", at positions 524 to 776 of the family's 1533-position model. The record is from RNAcentral.